CAGCAGCCGCGGUAAUACGAAGGGGGCUAGCGUUGCUCGGAUUUACUGGGCGUAAAGGGCGCGUAGGCGGACUGAUAAGUCAGGGGUGAAAUCCCAAGGCUCAACCUUGGAACUGCCUUUGAUACUGUUUGUCUUGAGUUCGAGAGAGGUAAGUGGAACUGCGAGUGUAGAGGUGAAAUACGUAGAUAUUCGCAAGAACACCAGUGGCGAGGGCGGCUUACUGGCUUGAAACUGACGCUGAGGCGCGAAAGCGUGGGGAGCAAACAGGAUUAGAUACCCGUGUAGUCCCUGUCUCUUAUAC
RNAcentral lists this ribosomal RNA (301 nucleotides) under uncultured bacterium. RNAcentral's name for it is "partial 16S ribosomal RNA". It matches the Rfam family "Bacterial small subunit ribosomal RNA", at positions 509 to 807 of the family's 1533-position model. The record is from RNAcentral.